Molecule: ribosomal RNA, 491 nt
Filed under: uncultured bacterium
Lineage: Bacteria
Description: partial 16S ribosomal RNA
Rfam family: Bacterial small subunit ribosomal RNA
Source: RNAcentral
GUGAACGCUGGCGGUAGGCCUAACACCUGCAAGUCGAACGGCAGCACAGUAAGAGCUUGCUCUUACGGGUGGCGAGUGGCGGACGGGUGAGGAAUACAUCGGAAUCUACUUUUUCGUGGGGGAUAGCGUAGGGAAACUUACGCUAAUACCGCAUACGACCUACGGGUGAAAGCAGGGGAUCUUCGGACCUUGCGCGAUUGAAUGAGCCGAUGUCGGAUUAGCUAGUUGGCGGGGUAAAGGCCCACCAAGGCGACGAUCCGUAGCUGGUCUGAGAGGAUGAUCAGCCACACUGGAACUGAGACACGGUCCAGACUCCUACGGGAGGCAGCAGUGGGGAAUAUUGGACAAAGGGCGCAAGCCUGAUCCAGCCAUACCGCGUGGGUGAAGAAGGCCUUCGGGUUGUAAAGCCCUUUUGUUGGGAAAGAAAAGCAGCAGGUUAAUACCCCGCUGUUCUGACGGUACCCAAAGAAUAAGCACCGGCUAACUUCGUG